Molecule: ribosomal RNA, 395 nt
Filed under: Limosilactobacillus mucosae
Lineage: Bacteria; Bacillati; Bacillota; Bacilli; Lactobacillales; Lactobacillaceae
Description: partial 23S ribosomal RNA
Rfam family: Bacterial large subunit ribosomal RNA
Source: RNAcentral
GGUUAAGUUAUGAAGGGCGCAUGGUGAAUGCCUUGGUACUAGGAGCCGAUGAAGGACGGGACUAACACCGAUAUGCUUCGGGGAGCGGUAAGUACGCUUUGAUCCGGAGAUUUCCGAAUGGGGAAACCCAAUCAUCUUAGUCGAUGAUUGCCUGAGCAGUGAAUACAUAGCUGUCAGGCGGUAGACGCAGUGAACUGAAACAUCUAAGUAGCUGCAGGAAGAGAAAGAAAAUUCGAUUCCCUGAGUAGCGGCGAGCGAAACGGGAAGAGCCCAAACCAACGAGCUUGCUUGUUGGGGUUGUAGGACUGAACAUUUGAGUUACCAAAGUGCGACGUAGUUGAAGUCGUUGGGAAGCGACGCCAAAGAUGGUGAUAGCCCAGUAAACGAAACGUCAC